This 253-nucleotide ribosomal RNA is filed under the name uncultured bacterium. RNAcentral describes it as "partial 16S ribosomal RNA". It matches the Rfam family "Bacterial small subunit ribosomal RNA", at positions 524 to 776 of the family's 1533-position model. The record is from RNAcentral.
GACGAAGGGGGCUAGCGUUGUCCGGAAUUACUGGGCGUAAAGAGCUCGUAGGUGGUUUGUCGCGUUGUUCGUGAAAACUCACAGCUCAACUGUGGGCGUGCGGGCGAUACGGGCAGACUUGAGUACUGCAGGGGAGACUGGAAUUCCUGGUGUAGCGGUGGAAUGCGCAGAUAUCAGGAGGAACACCGGUGGCGAAGGCGGGUCUCUGGGCAGUAACUGACGCUGAGGAGCGAAAGCGUGGGGAGCGAACAGG